RNAcentral lists this unclassified non-coding RNA (365 nucleotides) under uncultured bacterium. RNAcentral's name for it is "contains 16S-23S intergenic spacer region". The record is from RNAcentral.
UCUGGGUUUAUCCCAGCGGUCCCGUCAGAAAAAUAUAACUGACGGCGAGGGUUGCGCUCGUUGCGGGACUUAACCCAACACCUCACGGCACGAGCUGACGACAGCCAUGCAGCACCUGUGCACGAUCUCCGAAGAGGGGCUCUCGUUUCUGAGAGUUUGCUCGUGCAUGUCAAGCCUAGGUAAGGUUCUUCGCGUUGCGUCGAAUUAAACCACAUGCUCUACCGCUUGUGCGGGCCCCCGUCAAUUCCUUUGAGUUUCAACCUUGCGGUCGUACUCCCCAGGCGGGGUACUUCCUGCGUUAGCUUCGGCACCGCAGGGGUCAAUACCCGCGACACCUAGUACCCAUCGUUUACAGCGUGGACUAC